CCUACGGGCGGCUGCAGUGGGGAAUUUUGGACAAUGGGCGAAAGCCUGAUCCAGCCAUGCCGCGUGAGUGAAGAAGGCCUUCGGGUUGUAAAGCUCUUUCGCAAGGGAAGAAAACUUACUCAAUAACACUGGGUGAGGCUGACGGUACCUUGAUAAGAAGCACCGGCUAACUACGUGCCAGCAGCCGCGGUAAUACGUAGGGUGCGAGUGGGAAUCGGAAUUACGGGGCGGAAAGCGAGAGCAGGAUGUUAAAUCCCCGGGCUCAACCUGGGAACUGCGUUUGGAACUGCAAGGCUAGAGUGUGUCAGAGGGAGGUAGAAUUCCACGUGUAGCAGUGAAAUGCGUAGAGAUGUGGAGGAAUACCGAUGGCGAAGGCAGCCUCCUGGGAUAACACUGACGCUCAUGCUCGAAAGCGUGGGGAGCAAACAGGAUUAGAUACCCGAGUAGUC
This 449-nucleotide ribosomal RNA is filed under the name uncultured bacterium. Its description in RNAcentral is "partial 16S ribosomal RNA". It matches the Rfam family "Bacterial small subunit ribosomal RNA", at positions 338 to 795 of the family's 1533-position model. The record is from RNAcentral.